CUCAAAUUUGAAAUCUGGCUCUUUUAGAGUCCGAAUUGUAAUUUGUAGAAGAUGCUUCGGGUGUGGUUCCGGUCUAAGUUCCUUGGAACAGGACGUCAUAGAGGGUGAGAAUCCCGUAUGUGACUGGAUACCUAUGCUCAUGUGAAGCUCUUUCGACGAGUCGAGUUGUUUGGGAAUGCAGCUCAAAAUGGGAGGUAUAUUUCUUCUAAAGCUAAAUAUUGGCCAGAGACCGAUAGCGCACAAGUAGAGUGAUCGAAAGAUGAAAAGCACUUUGGAAAGAGAGUUAAACAGUACGUGAAAUUGUUGAAAGGGAAGCGCUUGCAAUCAGACUUGCACUUGGUGUUCAUCAGGGUCUCGUACCCUGUGUACUUCAUCAAGUUCAGGCCAGCAUCAGUUUGAGUGGUUAGAUAAAGGCUUAGAGAAUGUGGCCCUCUUCGGGGGGUGUUAUAGCUCUAGGUGCAAUGUAGCCUACUUGGACUGAGGACCGCGCUUCGGCUAGGAUGCUGGCGUAAUGGUUGUAAGCGACCCGUCUUGAAACACGGACCAAGGAGUGUACCUAAUAUGCGAGUGUUUGGGUGUUAAACCCAUACGCGUAAUGAAAGUGAACGCUGGUGAGAACCCUUAAGGGUGCAUCAUCGACCGAUCUUGAUGUCUUCGGAUGGAUUUGAGUAAGAGCAUAUUGGGUGCGACCCGAAAGAUGGUGAUCUAUACGUGAAUAGGGUGAAGCCAGAGGAAACUCUGGUGGAGGCUCGCAGCGGUUCUGACGUGCAAAUCGAUCGUCAAAUUUGCGUAUAGGG
RNAcentral lists this ribosomal RNA (797 nucleotides) under Botryotinia convoluta. Its description in RNAcentral is "LSU rRNA". It matches the Rfam family "Eukaryotic large subunit ribosomal RNA", at positions 108 to 922 of the family's 3401-position model. The record is from RNAcentral. Lineage: Eukaryota; Fungi; Ascomycota; Leotiomycetes; Helotiales; Sclerotiniaceae.